GGAGAAUGGUGGAGCUGUUGUGCUAACGGCUUAAGCUGUUUUGUUCUUAUCAAUUUUUAGUCUUUGAGUUUUUAAUUUUUCACUUUCAAGUGUUUUCAUAUUAAUGGGUAUUAUGGUUUUUAUUGAUACUUUUUGGUUUAAAAUAGAUAUGAAUUUGCUUUCCUAGUGCUUAGAUCUUAUCUUAGACUUAUUUCCGGUUUUAUUUCUUAUUGAUUGAGUCUUUCUGGUGAUGAUUUUGAUGUUUGUGAUUUUGAGGUAUAAUGCUUCUGAAAGUUAGCAAUGUGCUAAUUUUCCUUGUUUCAUUUCUUUUCAAUCUUAUUGCUGGAGUAUGGUUCUUCUAUUAGAUUAUAGUAUGAGGUUACCAUUUGAUCAUUUAUCAGAUGAUAUGAUCGUGUUAAAAUAUG
Molecule: unclassified non-coding RNA, 404 nt
Filed under: Hevea brasiliensis (rubber tree)
Lineage: Eukaryota; Viridiplantae; Streptophyta; Magnoliopsida; Malpighiales; Euphorbiaceae
Source: RNAcentral